UGACGUCGUCCACAACGGUUAUGUCAGCACCACCCAAUGCGAGAAAUGAAAGCCGCUAGCGUGCCAGAGGAAGAUUUAAAUGGCUCUGUUUUAUCAUCCUGUGUGGCAUAUUCAGCAAUACUCACUUCAAGCAAGAUUAGGUAUGCCUGCCUCCUGUGCACACAACAUGUUCUGAUUCACGGUUAAUGGACACACAGUGGGUCCAAAGUAGGUCAACACAGCACUUCAAAUUAGUUUUAGUUGAUCACUUUUAUCAAAGUUAUUGCGCAUUUAUCAAACGUAGUUAAAUCUCGUAAAUCACCAGAGUCAAAAUUACGGCUUUGGGGUCAGAUUUGGCCUACCACUUAAUUUCAUGGGCCUUGCUAAAUCAUGUGCGUCCUGUUCAUGGUUCUUUAUAAA
Hippocampus comes (tiger tail seahorse) is the source of this 399-nucleotide long non-coding RNA. RefSeq lists it as uncharacterized. The transcript is spliced from 2 exons. The record is from RefSeq and is a predicted model, not a curated record. Lineage: Eukaryota; Metazoa; Chordata; Actinopteri; Syngnathiformes; Syngnathidae.